GAGAACUACGUGCCGGUGGCCGGGGUAAUACGGGGGGGGCAAGCGUUGUUGUGAAUUACUGGGCGUAAAGGGCUCGGAGGUGGCCAACUAAGUCAGACGUGAAAGCCCUCGGCUUAACCGGGGAACUGCGUCUGAUACUGGAUGGCUUGAGGUUGGGAGAGGGAUGCGGAAUUCCAGGUGUAGCGGUGAAAUGCGUAGAUAUCUGGAGGAACACCGGUGGCGAAGGCGGCAUCCUGGACCAAUUCUGACGCUGAGGAGCGAAAGCCAGGGGAGCAAACGGGAUUAGAUACCCGAGUAGUC
RNAcentral lists this ribosomal RNA (300 nucleotides) under uncultured Desulfurococcus sp. RNAcentral describes it as "bacterial SSU rRNA". It matches the Rfam family "Bacterial small subunit ribosomal RNA", at positions 496 to 795 of the family's 1533-position model. The record is from RNAcentral. Lineage: Archaea; Thermoproteati; Thermoproteota; Thermoprotei; Desulfurococcales; Desulfurococcaceae.